CUAGAUCUGGCUCUUUGACUUAAAAAGAGAAACUGAAAUUUUUAUCAGAUUUAUUUGUGACAUACUGAAUUCCAUCAGAUUUUCUUGGUGUCCUUAUAUUUUUCAAUUUUCAUGAAAGUGCUUUAUUUAAAAUUUAGUUUUAAGAGGUGGUUUCUUGAUGUUGGUUCAGCAUUGCAGCCUGUUCUGUUUGUAGUCCGUCUUCAGUACAUGGCCCAAUACAGCAUGCUGUCAUACUGGGGUGGGAGAGAAUACUUGGAGAUUUGAGAGGAAGCAAAGGCCUGUCUGUAGUUUUUCAUGUUUGUUUUGACUUUUUUGUUCAGUUCUAAUUCAUUGCUUUUUAAUAAGUGUGAGCCAUUCAACUUCCAGUGCUGGUUUUGUUUUUUCUGGUUUUGCAGUUGAGGAAACACAACUGUGUUUGUGAUUCAAACGCAGUUUGAAACAGAAUUGGCUUAUUUCUUUGCUAGUAUAUUCUAGCAAAAUUACGUAGACAUAGCAUGAUGAAAACAACUAAUUUUGCCUCUGAGUAUCCAUUUUAUUCACAGUGAGAAGGGGAAUCCCGGUGUGCAAAUGAAGGGCACUCUGUGUUUGCAUAAAGUGUUUUCUCUUUUGGUCUUUCAGUUGGGUGUUUCCCUGCUAUUUUGUUUAUUGCAGGCAUUUAUAUGUGGUGAGUUUAACAGUUUCCUUCAAUAGUUUCUGAGUUUUUUCAAGGUCUUUCGGGUGCUUACUCUGGUGUUUUGCUUUAAAAGAAUCUCCGGUCCCUCUGUAGAUAACUAAUUUUGCAGCUUUGCUCAAACUGCAAGGUCACAAAUCCUGUACCUUCAAGUGAACUGUAGUUUUGGUUUUAGCAUGGCUCAUUUUAACUUUGUUUGCCUUUAAACCUGGUUUCAUGCUUUACUUUCACAGUAAAGGCACGCUGGCUGUUCCAGUGCAAGUACACGGUGUUCCUUUAUAUUUGCUGUUGGUGUGGAUGUAGGCUGCUGCUAACACAGUAAGAAGAAAGGGGUUUAUCGAUAUUUGUAUAAGGUGUGUGGUUUAUUUUUCCCCACUGGAUGUGUUGUUAAAUAAUAACCGCUAUAGCUCAGUGUUAUUUCUAGGUAAGUUUAUAAAAGUACACACAUCACUUGAAGGACUAUGGGUUUUUUCCCACCCUAAACUGUUGCAUGGAGACUACUGUUCAGUAUAUAAUGUGUUAGACUGCAGCAGUGAAAUAUGUGUUCUCUAGGUGGAAACAGAGAGAUGUAUGACACUUUGGUGACAUGUAUAUAAUUAGUUCUGGGGAAGCAAGAGUGAAUUACCGUUUGUGGUCAGCUAUGUAUUAAAAUAGGAUUAUGUUGUUUCCUUAAACAGAUGUAGAAAGCUUUAACCAAAUAGGUAGUGUGUUUUCCCUUGGCUUGGGCAGAGCGACCUGCACUCUGAGGGCAAAAGGACGUGAGUCAGAAUCAUUUCUGAUGCACAGGAUGAUAAGGGAGGUUCAGAUCUGAAAUGCCUGUGUGCUGCAGUGAGGUGAAGCAGUCGAGAGUACUCCCUUGCAUGCUGCUGUUUCCACGGUGUGGCGUUCCCAUCAGAGAACAAUCCUGGUCCUCACAUGAUGCAAAUAUCCAUUGGUUAGAAGGGAAACUGACAGCUGUUUCUGUCUACAGACAAAACACGACCUGAGCUUCAGAGCUGUUAUGUUACCUCACUCUCUGUGCACACAUGGGAAUUUCAUAUAAUUAAGUUUCUAGACUAUGGCCUGUAUUUUUAUAACUCUUUUUUUACCUUAUCUAGCCUGCUGUGGGUGCUGCUACAAUAUAAAAAAGCAAGCAGUGAAAGGAAUCUUCAAUAGGGUGUGUUUGAGAAGUUUUUAUAAUAGUUUAUUUUAAAUCCUUGCUUCUGUGUGGGUAAAAUGUAAUUAAAGAGCUGCAUUGCAACUGAUGCUAAUUCUGAAAAUACAUUAAGUAUAUAUCAUCAAAGUUUUUAUUUCUGAAAGCUCUAAUUUUGUAAAAAUACUGGAAAGCGUUGGAAAUAGAAGCCUGGUUGCACUGUAAAUAGUGCAAAAGUAUUUUAGUAACUGUAGUACUAAUGAGCAGAAUGUCUUUUUUUCUUUUUUUUCCCAACCCCCCCUUUAAUUUUUUUAAAAUGGCAUUAGUAUUCCAAACAGCAAAAUCCCUGGCUGGAGAAUUGUAGAAAUGAUGAUUGCUCAUUAGCAAAUAGAAUACAGAUGUUCCGUUCAUUUUGCCUGAGUGCUUCACAUAAACACCUUGGGGAGUGACUGGCACAGAGUACAAAACUUGAUAGCAUAACAGUGUGCUAAACACUUCGGGGCUGGCAACAGAAGCAGAGGCAUACCAUGUAAUUUUGUAAAAUUUCAUGUAAUUUUUAAUCAUUUGUAGUGUUUGUGUAAUGUGACAAUCUUCACAUGGGAAGGGGGUGGGUGGCGGAUGCGUGUGUCUCUACAGGGCUGUAAUCAACACCAGAAACUAGAGUUGGGUCAACUUUGUGGAGGUCUGUUCAUGUCUUUUUGGUUGACUUUCUGCCUUCAGCUUAAAGGAACAAACUUCCACCACCAUGCAGGUCCGUGAGUGUUGUAUUGGUUGUAGGCUUUUGUAUUUGCCUGACCAGUUGCCCAGAAUUUCUUGGGCCUCUGAGGCAGCAUCUCUUUGGUUCUUUUCUCAUGUAUCUUCAGGUGGUGUUACCAGGUAGGAAAUCUGUUGUUCCUCGUCUCCCUCUCUUCCAUUCCUCCCUCCUCCCCCCCCCCCAACAAUGAUCCAAAUUACUUUUAAUUUUUAAUUAUAUAGGUGCCAUGACUGUUUUCAAGGACAUACUAAAUAAGGACUGGAGUAGUAAGGCACCAUUAGGGACUUUGUGGUAGUUCUGUGUUAGUUGCUAUGGGAUUUUACGUCCCAGUAGGAUGUUGCUAAAUUCGGUUCUCUGCCAAUGCCUGCGGUGCUUAUGGAGCAGCUGGAAGGGGAGAUCCCCCUACUCCGCCGGAGGAGCCAAGUGAGCCAAGCCUCUCUGUGUCCCUUGCUCUUGGACUUUGCUCCUUGCAGUUUUCUAGAAGAGACAGUUCCAUUUCAGUGAAGAUGCAGGAAUUGAUUGGUUUAUAAAACACAUGUAAGAAAUGCUGAAUCUCAUUCAUGCAAUUGGGUAGACUUUUAAAGAAAGGGGAUUUGUAGCUGUGAUAUUACUCUGGCCUCUUGCCGUGAUGUGUGUUGUACUUGUUUAGCUGCCAGGGACGGGCUGGGAAGAAGCUGAAUGGACUUCAAAAGUUUCAAAAUUCAUUUAAUUUAUUAAAGAAUAUAUUGAUUCCA
This is a long non-coding RNA of Falco peregrinus (peregrine falcon), 3290 nucleotides long. RefSeq lists it as uncharacterized. Lineage: Eukaryota; Metazoa; Chordata; Aves; Falconiformes; Falconidae. The transcript is spliced from 2 exons. The record is from RefSeq and is a predicted model, not a curated record.